This 497-nucleotide ribosomal RNA is filed under the name uncultured bacterium. Its description in RNAcentral is "partial 16S ribosomal RNA". It matches the Rfam family "Bacterial small subunit ribosomal RNA", at positions 28 to 507 of the family's 1533-position model. The record is from RNAcentral.
GACGAACGCUGGCGGCGUGCCUAAUACAUGCAAGUUGAGCGAUGAAGAUUGGUGCUUGCACCAAUUUGAAGAGCAGCGAACGGGUGAGUAACGCGUGGGGAAUCUGCCUUUGAGCGGGGGACAAAAUUGGGAAAGGAAGGUAAAUACGGCAUAAAACUUUAAACCAAAGGUUUAAAGUUGAAAAGAGGCAAUGGAACCACCCAAGAAGGACCCGGCGUUGUAUUAGCUAGUUGGUGAGGUAAAGGCUCACCAAGGCGAUGAUACAUAGCCGACCUGAGAGGGUGAUCGGCCACAUUGGGACUGAGACACGGCCCAAACUCCUACGGGAGGCAGCAGUAGGGAAUCUUCGGCAAUGGACGAAAGUCUGACCGAGCAACGCCGCGUGAGUGAAGAAGGUUUUCGGAUCGUAAAACUCUGUUGGUAGAGAAGAACGUUGGUGAGAGUGGAAAGCUCAUCAAGUGACGGUAACUACCCAGAAAGGGACGGCUAACUACGUG